This 328-nucleotide ribosomal RNA is filed under the name uncultured Bacteroidota bacterium. RNAcentral describes it as "bacterial SSU rRNA". It matches the Rfam family "Bacterial small subunit ribosomal RNA", at positions 28 to 351 of the family's 1533-position model. The record is from RNAcentral. Lineage: Bacteria; Pseudomonadati; Bacteroidota.
GAUGAACGCUAGCGGGAGGCUUAACACAUGCAAGUCGAGGGGCAGCAUAAUGUAGCAAUACGUUGAUGGCGACCGGCGCACGGGUGAGUAACACGUAUGUAACCUACCCUGUACAGGGGGAUAGCCCGGAGAAAUUCGGACUAAUAUCCCAUAAAGAUAUUGAAAGGCAUCUUUUAAUAUUUAAAGCUCAGGCGGUACGGGCUGGGCAUGCGGAACAUUAGCUAGUUGGCAGGGUAACGGCCUACCAAGGCAAUGAUGUUUAGGGGACCUGAGAGGGUGACCCCCCACACUGGUACUGAGACACGGACCAGACUCCUACGGGUGGCUG